This 465-nucleotide ribosomal RNA is filed under the name uncultured bacterium. RNAcentral describes it as "partial 16S ribosomal RNA". It matches the Rfam family "Bacterial small subunit ribosomal RNA", at positions 28 to 507 of the family's 1533-position model. The record is from RNAcentral.
GACGAACGCUGGCGGCGUGCUUAACACAUGCAAGUCGAACGGAAAGGCCCUGCUUGCAGGGUACUCGAGUGGCGAACGGGUGAGUAACACGUGGGUGAUCUGCCCUGCACUUCGGGAUAAGCCUGGGAAACUGGGUCUAAUACCGGCUAGGAGCCAUUUUUAGUGUGAUGGUUGGAAAGUUUUUUCGGUGUAGGAUGAGCUCGCGGCCUAUCAGCUUGUUGGUGGGGUAAUGGCCUACCAAGGCGGCGACGGGUAGCCGGCCUGAGAGGGUGGACGGCCACAUUGGGACUGAGAUACGGCCCAGACUCCUACGGGAGGCAGCAGUGGGGAAGAUUGAACAAUGGGCGCAAGCCUGAUGCAGCGACGCCGCGUGGGGGAUGACGGCCUUCGGGUUGUAAACUCCUUUCGCUAGGGACGAAGCUUUUUGUGACGGUACCUAGAUAAGAAGCACCGGCUAACUACGUG